Molecule: unclassified non-coding RNA, 250 nt
Filed under: Diplogelasinospora grovesii
Lineage: Eukaryota; Fungi; Ascomycota; Sordariomycetes; Sordariales; Diplogelasinosporaceae
Description: partial internal transcribed spacer region
Rfam family: Eukaryotic small subunit ribosomal RNA (bases 1-46)
Source: RNAcentral
AAGUCGUAACAAGGUCUCCGUUGGUGAACCAGCGGAGGGAUCAUUACAGAGUUACCAAGCUCGCCAAAACCAUCGCGAACGUUACCCGUACCGUUGCCUCGGCGGGCGGCUCCGUCCCGGAGCCGCAGCCCCCUCACCGGGGCGGCCCGCCGGAGGUCAGCCGGAGAAAAACUCUUUGUCCUCUAGGGCCUCUCUGAGUAUUUUUGUACUAAACAAGUCAAAACUUUCAACAACGGAUCUCUUGGUUCUG